CCUANGGGAGGCAGCAGUAGGGAAUAUUGGGCAAUGGGCGAAAGCCUGACCCAGCCAUGCCGCGUGCAGGAUUGAAGGCUCUACGAGUUGUAAACUGCUUUUAUUCGGGACGAACACUCUUGAUUCUUCAAGAGCUGACGGUACCGAUUGAAUAAGGACCGGCUAACUCCGUGCCAGCAGCCGCGGUAAUACGGAGGGUCCAAGCGUUAUCCGGAUUUACUGGGUUUAAAGGGUGCGUAGGUGGUCAGAUCAGUCAGUGGUGAAAUCCUACAGCUCAACUGUAGAACUGCCAUUGAAACUUUCUGACUUGAGUAUAGUUGAGGCGGGUGGAAUGUAUCAUGUAGCGGUGAAAUGCUUAGAUAUGAUACAGAACACCGAUUGUGAAGGCAGCUCGCUAAACUAUUACUGACACUGAGGCACGAAAGCGUGGGUAUCGAACAGGAUUAGAUACCCCUNUANUC
This 461-nucleotide ribosomal RNA is filed under the name uncultured bacterium. Its description in RNAcentral is "bacterial SSU rRNA". It matches the Rfam family "Bacterial small subunit ribosomal RNA", at positions 338 to 795 of the family's 1533-position model. The record is from RNAcentral.